CUGUCUCUCUCUCAAAUAAGUAAAAAUGUUAAAAAAAAAAAAAAAAGUUGUAAGCCAUGCGAUUUACUCACCACUUUUGUCAGAUACCACGGAUUGUGUUGCCCAGUACUCAGUGUGACCCCUUUCUGAUGUGCCUCCUGUACUUAGAGAUGGGAGAGCUAUAAUCUACUUUUCCAAGGUUUCCUUGGCGACGGGCUUCUCUUGUGAUUUAAUAGUCACCAAUCAGAAGCUCUCACAGAAUUUAAUUUGGAACUCAGUUAUGUGGGGAGAGACACAGAGCAUGAGGAGCAAUUUUGCUCAAAUAGAUUAUGGCAGAGAAGGCACAAUGUCAGAGCCGUCCGGUGUGGCAGAGGAUUCCAGAUAAUGUGGCUCCUGAUUGUUGCACAAGGAGCAUGUCCCUGAGUCGCUCACUGUGGUGGAAGCUUCCGGAUAGUGUAGUUUCCUGCUUGUUGCUGGAGGCUGCAGCUUCUCUGCGGGCUCAGUUCUGCAGUGUGGCUGUGGUACACAGACUUCUAAUUUAUUCCAUUUAUCUUUUCUUUCGUGGAGCUACUGGCCUUACACCUGUCCUGACUUCUCCAAGCUCUGGAAAGAAAGGCCAAGAAGCCAUGGGAGGCCGCAUGCUAAGUCACGUGGCUGACUCAACAAGUAGAAGAGUAGCAGUCCUCAGAGUCGUUGUUCAGAAAAUAAAGCAAUAA
This 695-nucleotide long non-coding RNA is filed under the name Mustela putorius furo (domestic ferret). Its description in RNAcentral is "lncRNA (ENSMPUG00000027374.1)". The record is from RNAcentral. Lineage: Eukaryota; Metazoa; Chordata; Mammalia; Carnivora; Mustelidae.